Long non-coding RNA from Ixodes scapularis (black-legged tick), 268 nucleotides. RefSeq lists it as uncharacterized. The transcript has 6 exons. The record is from RefSeq and is a predicted model, not a curated record. NCBI's taxonomy places the organism in Eukaryota, Metazoa, Arthropoda, Arachnida, Ixodida, Ixodidae.
GCAGGCUGGCUGAAACAAUUAUCUGCUAAAGGUGGAUUCAAUAAGGAUGGCAAGACGAGCGUUCUGGGUCCCAAGUACGACCUCUUGUUUCAGAAGAUCGAAGACCGAUCUGCUGGACUUCUCACGGCGCUUCACAUCUUGCGAUAUCACGCUCAGGAACUUGACGCCUCAGGCAGCCGGAAAAACCCCGAACUUGACGAAUACUUCCAGCUCGUCCAAGCCAAGGUCCUGAAACUGUAUGGGUCCCUCUACCACCUCCGAAAAACAG